GACCAGCGCCCGAAGGCCGACACCCUGGCCCUGAGGCAACGGCUCAUCAGCUCUUCCUGCAGACUCUUUUUUCCCGAGGAUCCUGUUAAGAUUGUCCGGGCCCAAGGGCAGUACAUGUACGAUGAACAGGGGGCAGAAUACAUCGAUUGCAUCAGCAAUGUGGCGCACGUUGGGCACUGCCACCCUCUCGUGGUCCGAGCAGCACAUGAACAGAACCAGGUGCUCAACACCAACAGCCGGUACCUGCAUGACAACAUCGUGGACUAUGCGCAGAGGCUGUCAGAGACCCUGCCGGAGCAGCUCUGUGUGUUCUAUUUCCUGAAUUCUGGAGAGGGUCCCACCCCAUAUCCUGGUAGAAGGAAUCCUGCUGUCAUGAAGCUUCCGUAAAAACCAAGGGGACUGGAUUUAGAGAGCUUCCAGAUAACUGAACAUACAGAGGUUCUAGAAGGGUGGUGCGCCCAGGGAGGGCACAGGAGGCUCCAUGCCCUUCCUUCAUACCUCACCCUAUGCAUCUCUUUAUCUGUAUCUUUUGUCAUAUCCUUUAUAAUAAACCAGUAAAUGU
This 562-nucleotide small RNA is filed under the name Pongo abelii (Sumatran orangutan). RNAcentral describes it as "processed transcript". The record is from RNAcentral. Lineage: Eukaryota; Metazoa; Chordata; Mammalia; Primates; Hominidae.